This 692-nucleotide ribosomal RNA is filed under the name uncultured bacterium. RNAcentral's name for it is "bacterial SSU rRNA". It matches the Rfam family "Bacterial small subunit ribosomal RNA", at positions 805 to 1498 of the family's 1533-position model. The record is from RNAcentral.
AACGAUGGAUGCUAGUCGUUGGAGUGCUAGUCACUUCAGUGAUGCAGCUAACGCAUUAAGCAUCCCGCCUGGGGAGUACGGUCGCAAGAUUAAAACUCAAAGGAAUAGACGGGGACCCGCACAAGUGGUGGAGCAUGUGGUUUAAUUCGAAGAUACGCGAAGAACCUUACCUGGCCUUGACAUCCCGCGAACCCUGCAGAGAUGCGGGGGUGCCCCUUUUUGGGGAGCGCGGUGACAGGUGCUGCACGGCUGUCGUCAGCUCGUGUCGUGAGAUGUUGGGUUAAGUCCCGCAACGAGCGCAACCCUCGUGUUUAGUUGCUAACAGUUCGGCUGAGCACUCUAAACAGACUGCCUGGGUAACCAGGAGGAAGGUGAGGACGACGUCAAGUCAUCAUGGUCCUUACGGCCAGGGCGACACACGUGCUACAAUGGGUAGGACAAUGAGACGCGAUACCGCGAGGUGGAGCAAAUCUAAUAAACCUAAUCUCAGUUCGGAUUGUAGUCUGCAACUCGACUACAUGAAGCUGGAAUCACUAGUAAUCGUAGAUCAGCUAUGCUACGGUGAAUACGUUCCCGGGUCUUGUACUCACCGCCCGUCACACCAUGGGAGUUGAUUUCACCCGAAGCGGGGAAGCUAAAUUGGCUACCCUCCACGGUGGAAUUAGCGACUGGGGUGAAGUCGUAACAAGGUA